CAGCAGCCACGGUAAUACGUAGGGUGCGAGCGUUAAUCGGAAUUACUGGGCGUAAAGCGUGCGCAGGCGGUUCGUUAAGACAGAUGUGAAAUCCCCGGGCUUAACCUGGGAACUGCAUUUGUGACUGGCGAGCUAGAGUAUGGCAGAGGGGGGUAGAAUUCCACGUGUAGCAGUGAAAUGCGUAGAGAUGUGGAGGAAUACCGAUGGCGAAGGCAGCCCCCUGGGCCAAUACUGACGCUCAUGCACGAAAGCGUGGGGAGCAAACAGGAUUAGAUACCCCUGUAGUCCCUGUCUCUUAUAC
Molecule: ribosomal RNA, 301 nt
Filed under: uncultured bacterium
Lineage: Bacteria
Description: partial 16S ribosomal RNA
Rfam family: Bacterial small subunit ribosomal RNA
Source: RNAcentral